GUGAGGAAUAUUGGUCAAUGGACGAGAGUCUGAACCAGCCAAGUCGCGUGAAGGAAGACGGUUCUAUGAAUUGUAAACUUCUUUUGUGCAGGAAUAAAGUGGGUUACGUGUAACCUUUUGUAUGUACUGUACGAAUAAGGAUCGGCUAACUCCGUGCCAGCAGCCGCGGUAAUACGGAGGAUCCGAGCGUUAUCCGGAUUUAUGGGGUUUAAAGGGUGCGUAGGUGGAUUGAUAAGUCAGCGGUGAAAGUUUGCAGCUUAACUGUAAAAUUGCCGUUGAAACUGUCGGUCUUGAGUGCAAAUGAGGUAGGCGGAAUGUGUUGUGUAGCGGUGAAAUGCUUAGAUAUAACACAGAACUCCGAUUGCGAAGGCAGCUUACUGGGAUGCAACUGACACUGAUGCACGAAAGCGUGGGUAUCAAACAGGAUUAGAAACCCGGGUAGUCC
This 445-nucleotide ribosomal RNA is filed under the name uncultured bacterium. RNAcentral describes it as "partial 16S ribosomal RNA". It matches the Rfam family "Bacterial small subunit ribosomal RNA", at positions 354 to 796 of the family's 1533-position model. The record is from RNAcentral.